This 468-nucleotide ribosomal RNA is filed under the name uncultured bacterium. Its description in RNAcentral is "partial 16S ribosomal RNA". It matches the Rfam family "Bacterial small subunit ribosomal RNA", at positions 28 to 507 of the family's 1533-position model. The record is from RNAcentral.
GACGAACGCUGGCGGCGUGCUUAACACAUGCAAGUCGAACGGAAAGGCCCUGCUUUUGUGGGGUGCUCGAGUGGCGAACGGGUGAGUAACACGGGAGUAACCUGCCCUUGACUUUGGGAUAACUUCAGGAAACUGGGGCUAAUACCGGAUAGGAGCUCCUGCUGCAUGGUGGGGGUUGGAAAGUUUCGGCGGUUGGGGAUGGACUCGCGGCUUAUCAGCUUGUUGGUGGGGUAGUGGCUUACCAAGGCUUUGACGGGUAGCCGGCCUGAGAGGGUGACCGGCCACAUUGGGACUGAGAUACGGCCCAGACUCCUACGUGAGGCAGCAGUGGGGAAUAUUGCACAAUGGGCGGGAGCCUGAUGCAGCAACGCCGCGUGCGGGAUGACGGCCUUCGGGUUGUAAACCGCUUUCGCCUGUGACGAAGCGUGAUUGACGGUAAUGGGUAAAGAAGCACCGGCUAACUACGUG